RNAcentral lists this long non-coding RNA (862 nucleotides) under Canis lupus familiaris (dog). RNAcentral's name for it is "lncRNA (ENSCAFG00845008196.1)". Lineage: Eukaryota; Metazoa; Chordata; Mammalia; Carnivora; Canidae. The record is from RNAcentral.
CACAUGGCAUCAUGAAGAAAAAUGUAGUACUUGCUUUUGAUGAAGCAUGGGCAGCUACGCAUGGUACUGAUGAAACAAUGCAUUUAUUUUAGACCCAGUAUCUUCCAGGAGUGGCAAGCUCUUAGGAAAGAACCAAUAAAUGGAUUAAUGGAGGAACAGCUAGAAAACUACAUUAAGAUGAAGUGGCUGACACGGAUGGUGCCUGUGGCCUCUUCUAUGAUUGGACAUGAGGACUGCGUGUUCACAGUGGUAGCCAGAGCUUCCUCUUGCUUCUUGUGGUGAUACAAGGCGGAAGACGUGGGGCAUCGGCAGCAUCCACCACAUUGGUUUGACGUCUCUCCAUUUCAGUGAACUGUUCUUGUGAUUAUGUGCCACAUAUUUGCGAUGGGCAUCCCCUGGGUUUCUGGGUAUCAGAGAAAAACUGUGUCUCUAAAUCUUUCUCCAUCACCGUGCCACAGUUCUUUUAAACGACCAACACCCAGGGGCCAUUCCACGUUGAAGGUCAGCUGUGAUGUUAAUUUCUCCUCUCAAAGAAGAAAUACUGAGGCAAAAACUGGCUUGAAAUAUGGAAAAUAAAUGUGCUACCACAGGCAGACUUACUGUGAAGGUGGCCUAAUUCCUAGUUCCUAAUUGGCUUAGUAUUUUGGCCCAUAACUUUGAAAAUUCUCUUUAUUUCCAUCCCAAAUUCAAGUUGUCUGAUGUCAGUGUCUAUUUCUUUAUAAAGCAUUUCUUUCAUUUUCCAGUUCUCCCUGAUUCCACUUGUAAUAAAUCGACCAAGAAACAUUGUUGACCUUUCCUGUAUCUUAUCUCUCUUUAUUCUUUCUUAGUUAAGAAUUUUGUGGAAGACAAAAAGAAAAAUGAG